Molecule: ribosomal RNA, 497 nt
Filed under: uncultured bacterium
Lineage: Bacteria
Description: partial 16S ribosomal RNA
Rfam family: Bacterial small subunit ribosomal RNA
Source: RNAcentral
GAUGAACGCUGGCGGCGUGCCUAACACAUGCAAGUCGAGCGAACAGAUAAGGCGUUUGCCUGUUUGCCGUUAGCGGCGGACGGGUGAGUCAUACGUGGGUAACUUACCUUUAAGAAUGGCAUACCUUCGCGAGACCGAAUACAACAUCGGACCAUAUUUAGAACCGCAGGGUUCGUUGGUCCACGCUGGAUUUGCUAUCCCUAAUACAUGGUACCGAGCCGUAGUAGCAAGUUGGUACGGUAACGGCUUACCAAGGCGACGAUACGUAGCCGACCUGAGAGGAUGAUCAGCCACACUGGAACUGAGACACGGUCCAGACUCCUACGGGAGGCAGCAGUGGGGAAUAUUGCACAAUGGGCGAAAGCCUGACGGAGCAACGCCGCGUGUGUGAAGAAGGUCUUCGGAUUGUAAAGCUCUUUUAGUAGGGAAGAACAGACGUGUGAGUAUCUGUGCACGUCUUGACGGUACCUAAUCAGAAAGCCACGGCUAACUACGUG